This 482-nucleotide ribosomal RNA is filed under the name uncultured bacterium. RNAcentral's name for it is "partial 16S ribosomal RNA". It matches the Rfam family "Bacterial small subunit ribosomal RNA", at positions 30 to 507 of the family's 1533-position model. The record is from RNAcentral.
AUUGAACGCUGGCGGCAUGCUUUACACAUGCAAGUCGAACGGUAACAGGCCGCAAGGUGCUGACGAGUGGCGAACGGGUGAGUAAUGCAUCGGAACGUGCCCAGGCGUGGGGGAUAACUACUCGAAAGAGUAGCUAAUACCGCAUACGAUCUAUGGAUGAAAGCGGGGGACCGUAAGGCCUCGCGCGAUUGGAGCGGCCGAUGUCAGAUUAGGUAGUUGGUGGGGUAAAGGCUCACCAAGCCAACGAUCUGUAGCUGGUCUGAGAGGACAACCAGCCACACUGGGACUGAGACACGGCCCAGACUCCUACGGGAGGCAGCAGUGGGGAAUUUUGGACAAUGGGCGCAAGCCUGAUCCAGCAAUGCCGCGUGCAGGAAGAAGGCCUUCGGGUUGUAAACUGCUUUUGUACGGAACGAAACGGCUCUGGUUAAUACCCGGGGCUAAUGACGGUACCGUAAGAAUAAGCACCGGCUAACUACGUG